CAAUAGCGUAUAUUUAAGUUGUUGCAGUUAAAAAGCUCGUAGUUGGAUUUCGGGUGGGACGCAGCGGUCUCGCAUUGCGUUUGUACUGCUGCAGCCCUCCUUCUUGCCGGGGGCGGCCUCUCGGACUUCACUGUCUGGGGGUCAGAAUCGGCGAUGUUACUUUGAGUAAAUUAGAGUGUUCAAAGCAAGCUUACGCUCUGAAUAUAAUAGCAUGGGAUAACACGACAGGACUCUGGCCUAUCGUGUUGGUCUAUAGGACCAGAGUAAUGAUUAAGAGGGACAGUCGGGGGCAUUCGUAUUCCGUUGUCAGAGGUGAAAUUCUUGGAUUUAUGAAAGACGAACUUCUGCGAAAGCAUUUGCCAAGGAUGUUUUCAUUAA
Molecule: ribosomal RNA, 378 nt
Filed under: uncultured eukaryote
Lineage: Eukaryota
Description: partial 18S ribosomal RNA
Rfam family: Eukaryotic small subunit ribosomal RNA
Source: RNAcentral